This 64-nucleotide transfer RNA is filed under the name uncultured Isochrysis. It matches the Rfam family "tRNA", at positions 6 to 65 of the family's 71-position model. Rfam says of the family: Transfer RNA (tRNA) molecules are approximately 80 nucleotides in length. Their secondary structure includes four short double-helical elements and three loops (D, anti-codon, and T loops). The record is from RNAcentral. Lineage: Eukaryota; Haptophyta; Isochrysidales.
UGUAGCUCAGUUGGUCAGAGCGUCAGAUUCAUAACCUGAAGGUCACCAGUUCGAUCCUGGUCAG